UCGCCUGCAUGAAGUCGGAAUUGCUGUAAUCGCGGAUCAGCAUGCCGCGGUGAAUACGUUCCCGGGCCUUGUACACACCGCCCGUCACACCAUGGGAGUCGGUAACACCCGAAGCCAGUAGCCUAACCGCAAGGAGGGCGCUGUCGAAGGUGGGAUUGAUGACUGGGGUGAAGUCGUAACAAGGUAAC
RNAcentral lists this ribosomal RNA (188 nucleotides) under uncultured bacterium. RNAcentral's name for it is "partial 16S ribosomal RNA". It matches the Rfam family "Bacterial small subunit ribosomal RNA", at positions 1312 to 1500 of the family's 1533-position model. The record is from RNAcentral.